CCAUUUCAAAGGAGGCAGCAGGCGCGCAAUUACCCAAUCCUGACUCAGGGGGGUAGUGACAAGAAAUAACAAUAAACCGGCUUAUGCCGGUUUAAUUGGAAUGAGUACAAUUUAAACAUCUUAACGAGGAACAAUUGGAGGGCAAGUCUGGUGCCAGCAGCCGCGGUAAUUCCAGCUCCAAUAGCGUAUACUAAAGUUGUUGCAGUUAAAAAGCUCGUAGUUGGAUUUCUGUGGGGACGGAGCGGCCGGCCGCACAUCGCGGUUCGAGCUAGCGCUUUCCCUACAUCCUGCCGCGAACCGUGCUACCAUUAGUUUGGUGGCGCCGGGGAUCGGCUCGAUUACUUUGAGAAAAAUAGAGUGUUCAAAGCAGGCCACAUGCCUUGAAUAAGUUAGCAUGGAAUAAUAACUAAGGACUUCGGUUCUAUUUUGUUGGUGUUCGGGACUGAAGUAAUGAUUGAUAGGGACAGUUGGGGCGGUCUGUAUUCCAAAGCGAGAGGUGAAAUUCUUAGACCUUCGGAAGACAAACAGCUGCGAAAGCGUUCCGCAAGGAUGCUCCCUUUGAUCAAGAACGAAAGUUGGGGGAUCGAAGACGAUCAGAUACCGUCGUAGUCUCAACUAUAAACUAUACCAGCUAGGGAUCGGCCAACGUUAUUUUAUACCGACUUGGUCGGCACCUUAUGAGAAAUCAAGGCAUCUGGGUUCCGGGGGGAGUAUGGUCGCAAGGCUGAAACUUAAAGGAAUUGACGGAAGGGCACCACCAGCCGUGGAGCCUGUGGCUUAAUUUGACUCAACACGGGAAAACUUACCAGGUCCAGACAUAGUAAGGAUUGACAGAUUGAUAGCUCUUUCUUGAUUCUGUGGGUGGUGGUGCAUGGCCGUUCUUAGUUGGUGGAGUGAUUUGUCUGGUUAAUUCCGUUAACGAACGAGACCCCAGCCUGCUAAAUAGCGCGCGUGAGCUUUGCUCGCGGCGAGCUUCUUAGAGGGACUAUGAUGCGCGAUAGCACAUGGAAGUUUGGGGCAAUAACAGGUCUGUGAUGCCCUUAGAUGUUCUGGGCCGCACACGGGCUACACUGGCGCCUGCAACGAGCAUAUCAGCUGGCCCGAGAGGGUCUUGGCUAAUCUUUUGAACCGGCGCCGUGCUUGGGAUUGACCUUUGCAAUUGUUGGUCAUGCAACGAGGAAUGCCUUGUAAACGCGAGUCAUCAGCUCGCAUUGAAUACGUCCCUGCCCUUUGUACACACCGCCCGUCGCUCCUACCGAUGAAUGUUCCGAUGAAAUUUUCGGAGAGCACCCGUGAACUUGGCUCUGCCUUGCGAACGGGAGGCUCAAAGUCACAUAAAUCCUAUCAUUAG
Molecule: ribosomal RNA, 1351 nt
Filed under: uncultured marine eukaryote
Lineage: Eukaryota
Description: SSU rRNA
Rfam family: Eukaryotic small subunit ribosomal RNA
Source: RNAcentral